CGCCAUCGCGAGCAGGCUCGCUCCCACAGGAGCCCCCAUUCCAAUGUGGGAGCGAGCCUGCUCGCGAUCGAG
RNAcentral lists this unclassified non-coding RNA (72 nucleotides) under Pseudomonas kilonensis. Lineage: Bacteria; Pseudomonadati; Pseudomonadota; Gammaproteobacteria; Pseudomonadales; Pseudomonadaceae. The record is from RNAcentral.